Molecule: non-coding RNA, 24 nt
Filed under: Mus musculus (house mouse)
Lineage: Eukaryota; Metazoa; Chordata; Mammalia; Rodentia; Muridae
Source: RNAcentral
UGCAGAGCGGUACCACGGGUGUGU